AAGUCGUAACAAGGUUUCCGUAGGUGAACCUGCGGAAGGAUCAUUAGUGAAUUUUAGCGUACCUGUUUAACCAGGGCGUGACCUCUCACUUUUCAAACUCUGUGCACUUAUUUGGUCGGCAAGGAAAGGGUGAAUCGGCGUUUGCGCGCCUUUCUCGCUUGGAACUUGCGGCUCACUUUACUAAACAUUAAAAGUCAUUGUAUGUCAAAGAAAUUUAAUAACAAAAAAACUUUCAACAACGGAUCUCUUGGCUCUC
This 256-nucleotide unclassified non-coding RNA is filed under the name fungal sp. Its description in RNAcentral is "partial internal transcribed spacer region". The stretch from base 1 to 46 matches the Rfam family "Eukaryotic small subunit ribosomal RNA", at positions 1786 to 1831 of the family's 1831-position model. The record is from RNAcentral. Lineage: Eukaryota; Fungi.